RNAcentral lists this ribosomal RNA (349 nucleotides) under uncultured bacterium. Its description in RNAcentral is "bacterial SSU rRNA". It matches the Rfam family "Bacterial small subunit ribosomal RNA", at positions 378 to 725 of the family's 1533-position model. The record is from RNAcentral.
CGAAGCUGAUCCAGCCAUGCCGCGUGCAGGAAGACUGCCCUAUGGGUUGUAAACUGCUUUUUUACGGGAAGAAACACCCCCUCGUGAGGGGGCUUGACGGUACCGUAAGAAUAAGGACCGGCUAACUCCGUGCCAGCAGCCGCGGUAAUACGGAGGGUCCGAGCGUUAUCCGGAAUCAUUGGGUUUAAAGGGUCCGUAGGCGGGCGAUUAAGUCAGUGGUGAAAGUCUGCAGCUCAACUGUAGAAUUGCCAUUGAUACUGGUUGCCUUGAAUCGUUGUGAAGUGGCUAGAAUAUGUGGUGUAGCGGUGAAAUGCUUAGAUAUCACAUAGAAUACCGAUUCGAAGGCAGA